RNAcentral lists this unclassified non-coding RNA (330 nucleotides) under soil metagenome. RNAcentral describes it as "partial contains 5.8S ribosomal RNA, internal transcribed spacer 2, and large subunit ribosomal RNA". The stretch from base 1 to 120 matches the Rfam family "5.8S ribosomal RNA", at positions 35 to 154 of the family's 154-position model. The record is from RNAcentral.
GAUGAAGAACGUAGCGAAAUGCGAUAAGUAAUGUGAAUUGCAGAAUUCAGUGAAUCAUCGAAUCUUUGAACGCACAUUGCGCCCCCUGGUAUUUCGGGGGGCAUGCCUGUUCGAGCGUCAUUUCACCACUCAAGCCUCGCUUGGUAUUGGGCAACGCGGUCCGCCGCGUGCCUCAAAUCGUCCGGCUGGGUCUUCUGUCCCCUAAGCGUUGUGGAAACUAUUCGCUAAAGGGUGUUCGGGAGGCUACGCCGUAAAACAACCCCAUUUCUAAGGUUGACCUCGGAUCAGGUAGGGAUACCCGCUGAACUUAAGCAUAUCAUAAGCGGAGGA